GUGGGGCUAGGUCAGGGAUUCGGUCCUGGCGUGGCCGACGACCCGCGCGAUCACGGCGCCCGCCGCGCGC
RNAcentral lists this transfer RNA (70 nucleotides) under Mycolicibacterium mageritense. Its description in RNAcentral is "tRNA-Ala". Lineage: Bacteria; Bacillati; Actinomycetota; Actinomycetes; Mycobacteriales; Mycobacteriaceae. RNAcentral also lists the same sequence under 1 other name. The record is from RNAcentral.